AUUUAUAAUCUGGCACCUUCGGUGUCCGAGUUGUAAUCUCUAGAAGUGUUUUCCGCGUUGGACCGCACACAAGUCUGUUGGAAUACAGCGGCAUAGUGGUGAAACCCCCGUAUAUGGUGCGGACGCCCAGCGCUUUGUGAUACACUUUCAAUGAGUCGAGUUGUUUGGGAAUGCAGCUCAAAUUGGGUGGUAAAUUCCAUCUAAAGCUAAAUAUUGGCGAGAGACCGAUAGCGAACAAGUACCGUGAGGGAAAGAUGAAAAGCACUUUGGAAAGAGAGUUAACAGUACGUGAAAUUGUUGGAAGGGAAACGCUUGAAGUCAGACUUGCUUGCCGGAGCUUGCUUCGGUUUGCAGGCCAGCAUCAGUUUUCCGGGGUGGAUAAUAACGGUUUGAAGGUAGCAGUCUCGGCUGUGUUAUAGCUUUCCGUUGGAUACAUCCUGGGGGACUGAGGAACGCAGCGUGCUUUUUGCGAAAGACUCGUCUUUUUCACGCUUAGGAUGCUGGUGGAAUGGCUUUAAACGACCCGUCUUGAAACACGG
RNAcentral lists this ribosomal RNA (539 nucleotides) under Rhodotorula glutinis. Its description in RNAcentral is "eukaryotic LSU rRNA". It matches the Rfam family "Eukaryotic large subunit ribosomal RNA", at positions 113 to 664 of the family's 3401-position model. The record is from RNAcentral. Lineage: Eukaryota; Fungi; Basidiomycota; Microbotryomycetes; Sporidiobolales; Sporidiobolaceae.